ACAUGUUGAGGUCUUUGAGAAAGGGCUCAUGUGGCCAAGGUAUUGGGCUGUGAAGGGGACAAAGAUUAGAGGUGUCAAGGACUAAGCCCAUUGGAAGUGGUUGCAUUUGGUGCCAUGAGAGACCCUUUAUGCCAAACCUCCAUCUAAAUCAGUGUUACCUUCCUCCGGUCUCUGACUUUGCAAAUAUUGUUGCUGCUUGAGCCCUUGAUGAAAAGGGUUAGUAUUGAGCAACACCACUCAUUCUUGCUGUGCCUUCCAGGGACAAGAGAGACUUGUCAUGGUUGGUUAGAAAAGUGCCAUUAAAGGGGGGCAGGACUUGAAAGUCCAGCAAGGCAUGGAGGAGGAGUGUCUGGGGGUGAAGGAGAGUAAAUAGGGAGUCAUUUGAAACUCAAGAGUCGCUGCCUUAUGCUCAUCAACACCACUAUCCAGGGAAACCUGUUCCAGGAUGACAGAUGUGACAGACCUUUAAAAUCCACCAGCAGCUGAGCUCCUCUUGGCUACUCUGACUGAAGAUGGGAAAAGAAUUGGGGUGCUGUGCCAUACAUAUGCGAUGUAAUUGGGUCUCCAUAUUUGUAGGGUGGUUUGUUGUUGGGAUUCAUGAUGAUGCUGUCUCUGUCGUGACAUCCUGUGUGCUCUAGCAAAGUGUCAGAAACUCUUAAAAGCACUUCAGGCCCACUAGAAAAUAAAAUAGUCCUGAACUUAUUGUAGUCAAAGGUGUCUUUUUCCAGACAAAUGCCAGGCUGCUUCUGCAUGGUCUGAAGCAAGUGUGAGUUGCUGUCACUGCAGCUACACUGUAAGUAUCAGACUGCUGAAUCUGUUCAGCAACAGGAGCCAGUGCUUUCUGAGCUGUGGGUGGUGAAGGAUGCAGUUUGGAUUGAGUGUGGCUGCAGUUCUCCCAUGUGCUCUGCUGGCCUUCAUGAAGCCCUGCACACCCCCUCGAAUGUUUCCUGUGUGCCUCUUGGCCCGGAGGGACCGGAAUCUCCCGAUCUCUGCAGCGCUUCGUGCUUGUUUUGGGUCAGCAGAGGUAACGUGUCUGUUGAAUGGGUAAGGAUUUAAAAUACCACUUUCCUGGGUUUUGGGGUGGGUGUGACCUGCAGGUCCUUAUGGCUGAAAUGUGCAGACUCUGCCUGUUUUCAGAAGCAGCUCAGAUACUGCAGCUUUUGAAGAAAACAAAUUACCAUUUAUUGGCAACUCACCACAGUUCUGGAGGUAGCUGGACCAUUUGAGGAGGAAGGAUAGCCAAGCUGCUCCUGAAAGGAGGACCUGGAAUCUGGCCUGGGAUGGGAAUGGCUGCAGCUGGUAAGAUUUUGGUAGGCCUGAGGGCACUUGGAAAAACUCCACCUGAGAGCAUGGAGCUAGUGGAAGAGCAUGAAGGAAACAGUAAGGGAUGGUCUUGUCUGAGCCUCCAUCUCCCUCCAGGAGUCAUGUUCAGGCCUACUUGGCUUUAUCGCAGAGUCAUAGAAUCAUUAAUGUUGGAAGAGACCUACAAAGGUCAUCCAGUCCAACCAUCCACCCAGCACUACCAUUGUAACCCCUAAAACCACGUCACCCAGCGCCAGAACCAGGUGCCUCUUGAGCACCUUCAGGGAUGGUGACUCUACCACCUCCCUGUGCAACUUAUUCCAAUGCCUGACCGCUGGAACAGUGAAACAAUUUUUUUCUAAUAUCCCAUUUGAAUUUCCCAUCUCAGCUUAAGGCCAUUUCCUCUGGUGGUCUCACGGCAGAACAGACCGGCCCCCCCCUCACCCCAGCCUCAUGUCAGGGGUUGUGGAGGGCGAUGAGGUCCCCCCCGAGACUCCCCCACAGCAAACCAACCCAGCUCCCUCAGCCCUUCCUCAUAAGACUCGUUUUUCUAGACUUUUCCCGAGCCUUGUUGCCCUUCCCUGGACGUGCUCCAGUUUGAAAAGAGUGAACAGGCCUUCCCUUCCCUUCCUGUGGAGUCAAGGCUACCACAUGAUACAAACGUGAUUGUUUUAUCUGGGGUUUUUUGAGGGGAAUUAGCUGUGGC
Molecule: long non-coding RNA, 2008 nt
Organism: Empidonax traillii (willow flycatcher)
Lineage: Eukaryota; Metazoa; Chordata; Aves; Passeriformes; Tyrannidae
Exons: 3
Source: RefSeq, a predicted model, not a curated record